UACAGAGGGGGCAAGCGUUGUUCGGAAUUACUGGGCGUAAAGGGCGCGUAGGCGGCCAACUAAGUCAGACGUGAAAUCCCCUGGCUCAACCAGGGAACUGCGUCUGAUACUGGAUGGCUUGAAUCCGGGAGAGGGAUGUGGAAUUCCAGGUGUAGCGGUGAAAUGCGUAGAUAUCAGGAGGAACACCGGUGGCGAAGGCGGGAUCCUGGGCCAGUACUGACGCUGAGGAGCGAAAGCCAGGGGAGCAAACGGG
Molecule: ribosomal RNA, 253 nt
Filed under: uncultured bacterium
Lineage: Bacteria
Description: partial 16S ribosomal RNA
Rfam family: Bacterial small subunit ribosomal RNA
Source: RNAcentral